This 490-nucleotide ribosomal RNA is filed under the name uncultured bacterium. RNAcentral's name for it is "partial 16S ribosomal RNA". It matches the Rfam family "Bacterial small subunit ribosomal RNA", at positions 28 to 507 of the family's 1533-position model. The record is from RNAcentral.
GAUGAACGCUAGCGAUAGGCUUAACACAUGCAAGUCGAGGGGCAGCAUGGUCUUAGCUUGCUAAGACUGAUGGCGACCGGCGCACGGGUGCGUAACGCGUAUGCAACUUGUCUCACAGAGGGGGCUAACCCGUCGAAAGACGGACUAAUACCGCGUACACUUGGGAUAGGGCAUCCUGACCCAAGGAAAUGAAAUUCGCUGUGAGAUAGGCAUGCGUCCCAUUGGCUAGUUGGUGAGGUAACGGCUCACCAAGGCGACGAUGGGGAGGGGAACUGAGAGGUUGCACCACCACACUGGUACUGAGACACGGACCACACGGCUACGGAGGAGAGCAGUGAAGAAUAUUAGUCAAGGAACGAGAGCCUAAACAAGCCAAGUCGCGUGAAGAAGGACUGUGUUAGGGAUUGUAAACUUCUUGGAAACAAGAAUAGCAAGAGCCACGUGUGGCUCCCUGCAGGUACCGUAUGAAUAAGCAUCGGCUAACUCCGUG